This 786-nucleotide long non-coding RNA is filed under the name Nicotiana benthamiana. Its description in RNAcentral is "long non-coding RNA (NBEN_LNC031518)". Lineage: Eukaryota; Viridiplantae; Streptophyta; Magnoliopsida; Solanales; Solanaceae. The record is from RNAcentral.
AAUAUCAAAACUUUAGCAAAAACCAUAAGAGGAAAUCGAGUUGACCUUUAUUGCUGCAAUUUUCUGCCAUGUACAAUAAAACAAGAUCUCAAGAAUAACCAAACCAAAAAAAGAACUAUUAAUCCGAACCUCGAUGAACCCAGCCCCCGGAAGACGAAACUCGAACGGUAACACCUCAAUCAAACUCCACUGUUUGAAAAACCAAAGUUCCGAAAUUUAAACUGAAACAUAAACCAGAAAAAAAAGCUUCUUCUGUUACUUGGCUUCAGCGAUGGCUUCAGGACUUAUUUGAAACGAAUAUGGUGAAAUAUUAGGUCAUCGAUAAUGGAAUUCUGGCCAGAUCUGUCACUGGACUGUUCAACAGCAAAACGCAAUGAUGAAAAGCGAGGAAUGAGGUCGUUUUGGCCAUAGCUAGUCGCUGCCGAUCGGCGAUGGCAGCGAAAACUGAAGGAGGAGAAAGGACGUGCCGGUCACCUCGCCAUAGAUGAGGGCGACAUAGCAACAGUGACUCCAAGAGAUAAAGAGUGAUUUUUGGGUGAGCAGACCCUCUCCUCUCUGUAUAUUGCGGUGCGCGUGUGUCUUCGGUUUUGGUGGUAAAAGAGUGGAGUUGGGCUGCCGGAAUUUGGAGGAGAAAAGGGAGUGGGCGAUUGAAGGGUGGUUGUUUGGCGAUAGAAAGGCUUGGCGGCGACACGUCUUUGUGCUUUUGGUUAGAGGUGGGGCGGCUGGAAAGUUGAGGCGAUUAGGGUUUUUUGUUGUUGUGGGGGUGUGAACAAAUUGAAGGCUAAC